Molecule: long non-coding RNA, 4555 nt
Organism: Felis catus (domestic cat)
Lineage: Eukaryota; Metazoa; Chordata; Mammalia; Carnivora; Felidae
Exons: 2
Source: RefSeq, a predicted model, not a curated record
UUCUGGCGAGCAAACGGCAGAGAGGAGGGAGACGGUGAGCAUCUCACAAACACGAAGCACCCUGCAGUAAACAGCCGCGUGGGGGCCACGGCGAGCAGCUCCCGACCGUGCGGGCUGCUUGGAAGAAGCUGCCCACAGAGUCUGCCUGGGGCGCGGGCGCACGUCUGGGCGGAUCGAACCUGCCAGCCACACCCGGGCAGCCCGUGGAUGCGGAGCGUGUGGGGGGAGGCAGGCCGGGGGCUUCAGCUAAGAUCCACCGACUCAGCCCCAGAGACAAGCCGCUGGUGCUAAUCGGAGAGAGGAGCUACUCGGUCUUUGGAACACCCGGAUGUAUCUGCCUGCCCUAACCCAAGGGGUCAGUGGCCUUUGGAAACUAGAGAAAAGUUCCACGUUUGGCCCACGGAUGGAGCUGUGAGCCCCUGUUCAGGCAACACACUGCAGACCCAGGAGACCGGCUUCCUGGAGACACGUGUCUGGGGACAGGUUCUCUGACGAAGGCUCGAAGCCCGUCACGGCCUCCCAGACUCCCUCAAACAGAUAAAGAAACCGAGGCAAAGAAGCCUGCUGCCGAGAGCUGCCCUGGGCCCCUCCCCUGGGACCACGCUCCCUCCAGGCUACGUGGUUUUGUCGUCUCAAUAACUGCAUCCCGUUCGGAAGAAGCAACAAGUAGCCCGAGCGUCUGGCCCCUUGCAGACGUGACCCUGCGCACGUGCAGCCGAUGGUGCCGAGGACGGGUGUUGCGCAGGGUGGCUGCGCUGCAGUUACGGGGAUGGCAGUGCCGCGUCUUGGCCAGGAGGUGGCUCGGGCGGCGGUGCGGCCCGUGGUCGGGAGCCUGGCUCGGGAGCACGGGUCUGGGUUCCCACCCGGCCUCCGCACACAGCUGGCGCCCACCGGGGGCGAGCCACUGUGGAGGAAACGGUGGAGUCGAGCGUCCACGGAAGAGAAGACAAGCAAGGAAGAGGUUUAGGAAACGACUACCAAGAGGCGUCAGCGGGAGUCUCCGUGACGGGUCCCGUGGGGCAGGGGCGGGCGUGCCAGGCAGGGAGGCCCUCGUCAGCAGUUGGGCUUUGCGGGUCUGGUUUUUGUAAGCUGUAGGCGACCGGGGGUCGCGUUCCGAUGCGGGCACAGGCUGAUACGCUUCACCUCUCUGAACAGGACGUGCACGACACCGUCCUCCCGGGAGCACGGCGAAGGGGGAAUAUGCCGCCACAGGACACGUGUCACCACGGAAACACCAGGCAUCACAGGCGGCACACAGAACCCCACGGAACAAGAAACCCCGCUGAGGGCUCCUGCUAGCGUAUAAACUGCGUGUGCAGCAUAAUCCCGCUUCGUGCAGAAGGCACAUUCAAUAUGACAGCCACGGCACGCGUGUGUGAAUACACGCACACGCACACCAGGAACAGCCUGGCAGGACAUACGCCCACACGUCGGCAGCGGCAAAAUUACACAAGGUGCUUCUGUUCUCUUUUUCAGUUUUUGUAUUUUCCAAAUUUCUGCACUAAUAAACACCCUUUUGUCAUUAGCAAUAGUAUGUAAAAUUAAACCUCAGCUAAGAGAUAAAGCACGUCACCAUUCGCACGUACUGUUACGUUUCUUUUGAAACGCACAGCUGUUAACUGCUCAGCUCCCUUUAAAACAUGCAACCGUUCAAAGUGCAAAAGAAAGCCCAGUGACACGAAACCUCCCACAAACUUGGCAGGAAAGAUCCCGAUAGAGAAAGCUGCAGGAUUGCUGCGGGUCUCUUCUUCCUGCUCAGGGGAGGUGCGCACGAGGCCCCUGGUGGUCUGGAGCGGACUUCAGCUGCUGGGCCUGCUGCACCGGGGGACCCCCUUCUGGAAGCCCAGCCGCCCGGAGCCCACGGCGCUUGCUCAGGGCUCCUCAGGCAGCAAGAAAUGCCCCGGGGCCAGAAGGAGCCCGUGCACGUGCGUGAGCGUGCGUGUGCGUGUGCGGUCCUGAGCGCGGGACCGGACCCAGACAGCAUGGAAGGGGAGCCAGGUCAUGAGCACAAGUUUCCCUGGGACCAGGGAGGAAUCUUUUCCACGUGACACCACUUGGACAGGCUUCUGGUAAACGGAUCAGAGCUUUGGGAAAGGAGGCUUAAGUCUCAAGAAAAGAUGCUUCGUCCCGAUAGAGCCACCCGUGAGGACCCAGGGCCGGGCCUGCGGUAACCAAGCCGCCGUCAAGGAGCCACCUCCGCGGCGGACAGGCAUCUCCAGUAGUGACUCAGGUCCUACCAGCAGCAGGGCAGGGAUCGGUUACCUGAUGGCUUCGGCAAACCCCUCCACCCAAGGCUCCCCGUCCCCCGGCUCCAACAGCCAGGGCCCCCGGGAGCCCAAAGACAGCAGCAAGUUACUGUCCUGAACACGAUUUCUGAACAGGUGGACGCCCCACGUCCCCCCGCUGUCAGAAGAAGGGCCACACGCCUGUGCCCGUGGCACCUGUGCCCGUGGCCAGGGGAAGAGCUACUGAGCUUGGAAGAACUCUGAAUUUUUUCAGACAGUCACCUGCGGCCACAGUGUGUUUUGCGUCAGCCCGAAGACUGUUGCUCUUCUAGGAUCACAGAGAACACACACACACACACGCACGUGCACACACACACCCCGUGGCAGAUGUUAAUCCCACCGCGUCCGCAAUCAUUCGGAACACUCACGCCCUAGAUACGCCAAUUAGCAGACUGUCCGAGUGGACAGAAAGAAAGACCCAGCUACCUGCGGUCUGUAAGAAACCACUCUAAACACAAAGGCACGGACGAAGGUUCGGGGACGGAGAAGACGGGCCGCGCUAAUGCGAGCCGUAAGAAAGCUGGACCCGCUGCUUGAUCCCAGAGAGAAAACGUCCCCCAUAAACAACCACGCGGGCACCGACACGUGCGAACAGAGCCCAGGAGGCCAAGAAAGGCGGUGUGGGUGGGUGUGGGUGUGCCGGGCGUCUGCGGCCCGGGAUCCUCUCAGCGGCACCAGCGAGGCCCGGGCACCUGCCCCGCCACCUUCCGGCGCCCGCAAGCGCACCAGCUAACUGGCACAACGGAAUCAGCAGCACGGAGACCCGCCUUCACAUCCAGCCAGUUCACGUUCAGAACAAGAGUCUACCGAGUGGCGGGAGACGAGAUCGUGCCAAGGACGCUGCUGGAGCCUCGCGCGUCCCAGCGAGCCCGGGCAGGUGUGACGCCCGCUCAGCGGCUCAGAACAGCCGGUCUUCCUGGCGGACGGCGGCGGCGCUGUGUGCGGGCCCUGGCGACGACGACAAGGAGGGUGGCGAAGGCCCUGUGCCCACGGUGCCCGCCACGUGACCGGGAGCAGUUACCGGCGCAGGAGGGUCCCAGGCUCCCCUGCGCGGGGUCCCCUCCUACGGGUCACCCGCUGUGCCGCCCCAGGCUGGUCUGGGUCCUAAGAGCACUGGUGUCAGGAAGCCCUUCACGCCGUUGGCGCGUGCUGCACCCUGACCCCGGUGUUUCCAGCGGCUCGUGUCGUGGGAAGCCCUACUCACCGGCUUGCACAGGCCUCUGUCCGUCUUUGCCUCGGCCUCCCAGAUGUGGUGACCGUCUGGAAGAGAAGGGCAGAACGAAGGCUGUUACCCGCGUGCCCGGUCCAGCACGCCACCCCAAUCCCCUUGCCUCAACCAGGCGCGGGCCACCCCGGAGACCACAGCCCCGUCCACUCGCACCGUGCUGGCUGCUAAUGCGCGAGAGCAAAACGUCGUGUGAGCGUCGCCACCGGAGAGGACGCGCUAGGCCCACACGCGGGGGCAAGGAGCCUUGUGGAGCCCGAAGACCCCGGGCUCCGUGGGAGGGAGCCCCGGGCAGCGAGCGUCCCGAAACCCACCCUGCCCGCAUCCACAGGCUCGCCGCCCCGGCCCCACGGCACCCACGGGAGGGCUCGUAAACACAGGAGACGUGCCGGUGACCCGGUAAACGGCGCGUGGUCUCCGGACCUGGACCCGGGCGGUGUCCUGGCUCUCAGACCUGCCGGCUCCAGCUCCAGGUGCACCGGCGGGAAGCGUAGACCUGGUUACCGCGUGCGUUCUGGGAGCAGAGUUACUCUGAGUAACGAGUCGGGGCCCGGGAGCCACAAUCCCGCCUCUGCUCAGAGUAGCUGCUGGCUGAGCGAGAGAAUCCUUUCUGUGACUGCUUCUCGCCACGUCGGGAUACAGAAACGCAGAGCGUGGUAUUUCUAACCUUGCCCCAACGGCCGUUUGCGUGUUUUAAAAAAAAGGUAGAAAGGCUCCCGAUGGGCCUUGAAGGGGCUCAGUGUCCCGUGGGCCAGGCCUGGAGGGAGGGAGCUUCGAGAAGCCCACUGGCAGGAACGACUGCAAACCGAGCUCUUGGCCUCUGGAAGCCCCUCGAUGGCUGGCCAGCGCGACGGGGCCCGGCUGGGUGGUUACUUGGAAUUAACAGCUGUCUGUCUCCUGCUGAGACCUCCCUCCUCCCCAUCUCCUGUGAAGUCUGUCCCCAAACAGUUACAGCCAGCCACAGUUCCCACUCCCAUUCUGGUUUCAGAGAAGAGACGUACGUGUGUUACAAUUCAGAAAUUAUAAAUAAAGUAGACAAAAUCUC